UGGGCAACCUGCCCUCAGCUCUGGGAUAACUCCAAGAAAUUGGGGCUAAUACCGGAUAUGACCGCUGACCGCAUGGUCUGGUGGUGGAAAGAUUUAUCGGCUGGGGAUGGGGCCCCGCGGCCUAUCAGCUUGUUGGUGGGGUAGUGGCCUACCAAGGCGACGACGGGUAGCCGGCCUGAGAGGGUGACCGGCCACACUGGGACUGAGACACGGCCCAGACUCCGUACGGGAG
This 232-nucleotide ribosomal RNA is filed under the name uncultured bacterium. RNAcentral's name for it is "partial 16S ribosomal RNA". It matches the Rfam family "Bacterial small subunit ribosomal RNA", at positions 118 to 347 of the family's 1533-position model. The record is from RNAcentral.